Molecule: long non-coding RNA, 427 nt
Filed under: Anas platyrhynchos platyrhynchos (common mallard)
Lineage: Eukaryota; Metazoa; Chordata; Aves; Anseriformes; Anatidae
Description: lncRNA (ENSAPLG00000022855.1)
Source: RNAcentral
ACGGUGGGAAAUGAAGAUGUUCACUUUGUUUCAGGAUUCUGUCACUGAAGACAUCUUAAGCCUGAUUAUCUUGACUUAAGUAAUUAAGACCUUCAAGGGCCAUAGCCAUCAGUGCUAAACUACACAGCACCACUUUUAAGAACUAAAGCCAUAUUUAUGCAAGGCCUGAAAAGAGAAUAACGGAACAGAUGACCAUGUUGAAACAAGCACAAAGAUAAUGAGAGUGAAGAGCAGGGUUCUUCAAAAUGGCAUAGAAAGAGUAUUGCCCAGUUUGCUAUGUAACUAUUGCUCUAUAGACAUAAAAUCAGAACAUCAGAGGAGACCCACAUUGUGGCCAUGCACAUAUACUGCAUAGCAACGUAUUGUUCUGGAGUUUGAAUGAGGAAUUGUCUUCCUACUUAUGGAAUCUAAUUUCACAACAAGUAAG